CUUGGCGGCCGCCUUGUACAUGCAAGUCGAGCGCAGGACGCAGGCAGAUCCCCUUCGGGGGUGAUGCCUGUGGAAUGAGCGGCGGACGGGUGAGUAACACGUGGGCAACCUGCCUGUAAGAUCGGAAUAACUCCGGGAAACCGGGGCUAAUGCCGGGUAAUCCUUUUUCUCGCAUGAGAGAGAGGUAAAAGAUGGCCUUUGGCUAUCACUUACAGAUGGGCCCGCGGCGCAUUAGCUAGUUGGUGAGGUAAUAGCUCACCAAGGCGACGAUGCGUAGCCGACCUGAGAGGGUGAUCGGCCACACUGGGACUGAGACACGGCCCAGACUCCUACGGGAGGCAGCAGUAGGGAAUCUUCCGCAAUGGACGAAAGUCUGACGGAGCAACGCCGCGUGAACGAUGAAGGUCUUCGGAUCGUAAAGUUCUGUUGUUAGGGAAGAACAAGUACCGUGCGAAUAGAGCGGUACCUUGACGGUACCUAACGAGGAAGCCCCGGCUAACUACGUGCCAGCAGCCGCGGUAAUACGUAGGGGGCAAGCGUUGUCCGGAAUUAUUGGGCGUAAAGCGCGCGCAGGCGGUUUCUUAAGUCUGAUGUGAAAGCCCACGGCUCAACCGUGGAGGGUCAUUGGAAACUGGGGAACUUGAGGACAGAAGAGGAGAGUGGAAUUCCACGUGUAGCGGUGAAAUGCGUAGAUAUGUGGAGGAACACCAGUGGCGAAGGCGACUCUCUGGUCUGUUUCUGACGCUGAGGUGCGAAAGCGUGGGUAGCAAACAGGAUUAGAUACCCUGGUAGUCCACGCCGUAAACGAUGAGUGCUAGGUGUUAGGGGGCUUCCACCCCUUAGUGCUGAGGUUAACGCAUUAAGCACUCCGCCUGGGGAGUACGGCCGCAAGGCUGAAACUCAAAGGAAUUGACGGGGGCCCGCACAAGCGGUGGAGCAUGUGGUUUAAUUCGAAGCAACGCGAAGAACCUUACCAGGUCGUGACAUCCUUUGGACCGCCUAGAGAUAGGGUCUUCUCUUUCGGGGACAAGUGAUCAGGUCGGUGCAAUGAUAGUCGGUCAGCAUCGUGAUCGAUCGAGAUGUGGGCUAAGUUCCCGGCCAAUCGAGCGCCAACUCUAUCUAGGCUGGACAAGCAUUCAGCUGGGCACUCUAAAGGGGGGAACCUG
RNAcentral lists this ribosomal RNA (1166 nucleotides) under Halobacillus sp. RNAcentral describes it as "bacterial SSU rRNA". It matches the Rfam family "Bacterial small subunit ribosomal RNA", at positions 36 to 1156 of the family's 1533-position model. The record is from RNAcentral. Lineage: Bacteria; Bacillati; Bacillota; Bacilli; Caryophanales; Bacillaceae.